GUAAGUGCCCACCAUUUGCCUAUUGCUCUGUGGAAUGAUACAGAGAAAAUUAUCAUGACCACUACACAGGGAUGACACACAAAUUUGUAAAGUGUUAUAUAUUUUU
Pteronotus mesoamericanus is the source of this 106-nucleotide small nuclear RNA. The record is from RefSeq and is a predicted model, not a curated record. NCBI's taxonomy places the organism in Eukaryota, Metazoa, Chordata, Mammalia, Chiroptera, Mormoopidae.